RNAcentral lists this ribosomal RNA (622 nucleotides) under Haloferax prahovense DSM 18310. RNAcentral describes it as "bacterial SSU rRNA". It matches the Rfam family "Archaeal small subunit ribosomal RNA", at positions 120 to 741 of the family's 1478-position model. The record is from RNAcentral. Lineage: Archaea; Methanobacteriati; Methanobacteriota; Halobacteria; Halobacteriales; Haloferacaceae.
AGAACGAUAACCUCGGGAAACUGAGGCUAAUAGUUCAUACGGGAGUCAUGCUGGAAUGCCGACUCCCCGAAACGCUCAGGCGCUGUAGGAUGUGGCUGCGGCCGAUUAGGUAGACGGUGGGGUAACGGCCCACCGUGCCGAUAAUCGGUACGGGUUGUGAGAGCAAGAGCCCGGAGACGGAAUCUGAGACAAGAUUCCGGGCCCUACGGGGCGCAGCAGGCGCGAAACCUUUACACUGCACGCAAGUGCGAUAAGGGGACCCCAAGUGCGAGGGCAUAUAGUCCUCGCUUUUCUCGACUGUAAGGCGGUCGAGGAAUAAGAGCUGGGCAAGACCGGUGCCAGCCGCCGCGGUAAUACCGGCAGCUCAAGUGAUGACCGAUAUUAUUGGGCCUAAAGCGUCCGUAGCCGGCCACGAAGGUUCAUCGGGAAAUCCGCCAGCUCAACUGGCGGGCGUCCGGUGAAAACCACGUGGCUUGGGACCGGAAGGCUCGAGGGGUACGUCCGGGGUAGGAGUGAAAUCCCGUAAUCCUGGACGGACCACCGAUGGCGAAAGCACCUCGAGAAGACGGAUCCGACGGUGAGGGACGAAAGCUAGGGUCUCGAACCGGAUUAGAUACCCGGG